This 1089-nucleotide ribosomal RNA is filed under the name Bacillus haynesii. RNAcentral describes it as "bacterial SSU rRNA". It matches the Rfam family "Bacterial small subunit ribosomal RNA", at positions 62 to 1136 of the family's 1533-position model. Lineage: Bacteria; Bacillati; Bacillota; Bacilli; Caryophanales; Bacillaceae. The record is from RNAcentral.
UCGAUCGGAAGACGGGAGCUGGCUCCGUGAAGUUUAAGGCUGAAGGGUGAGUAACACGUGGGUAACCUGCCUGUAAGACUGGGAUAACUCCGGGAAACCGGGGCUAAUACCGGAUGCUUGAUUGAACCGCAGGUUCAAUUAUAAAAGGUGGCUUUUAGCUACCACUUACAGAUGGACCCGCGGCGCAUAGCUAGUUGGUGAGGUAACGGCUCACCAAGGCGACGAUGCGUAGCCGACCUGAGAGGGUGAUCGGCCACACUGGGACUGAGACACGGCCCAGACUCCUACGGGAGGCAGCAGUAGGGAAUCUUCCGCAAUGGACGAAAGUCUGACGGAGCAACGCCGCGUGAGUGAUGAAGGUUUUCGGAUCGUAAAACUCUGUUGUUAGGGAAGAACAAGUACCGUUCGAAUAGGGCGGUACCUUGACGGUACCUAACCAGAAAGCCACGGCUAACUACGUGCCAGCAGCCGCGGUAAUACGUAGGUGGCAAGCGUUGUCCGGAAUUAUUGGGCGUAAAGCGCGCGCAGGCGGUUUCUUAAGUCUGAUGUGAAAGCCCCCGGCUCAACCGGGGAGGGUCAUUGGAAACUGGGGAACUUGAGUGCAGAAGAGGAGAGUGGAAUUCCACGUGUAGCGGUGAAAUGCGUAGAGAUGUGGAGGAACACCAGUGGCGAAGGCGACUCUCUGGUCUGUAACUGACGCUGAGGCGCGAAAGCGUGGGGAGCGAACAGGAUUAGAUACCCUGGUAGUCCACGCCGUAAACGAUGAGUGCUAAGUGUUAGAGGGUUUCCGCCCUUUAGUGCUGCAGCAAACGCAUUAAGCACUCCGCCUGGGGAGUACGGUCGCAAGACUGAAACUCAAAGGAAUUGACGGGGGCCCGCACAAGCGGUGGAGCAUGUGGUUUAAUUCGAAGCAACGCGAAGAACCUUACCAGGUCUUGACAUCCUCUGACAACCCUAGAGAUAGGGCUUCCCCUUCGGGGGCAGAGUGACAGGUGGUGCAUGGUUGUCGUCAGCUCGUGUCGUGAGAUGUUGGGUUAAGUCCCGCAACGAGCGCAACCCUUGAUCUUAGUUGCCAGCAUUCAGUUGGGC